UGAGAGAGAGAGAGAGAGAGAGAGAGAGAGAGAGUUGAGCUGGAAUGCUAUCGGUAGCAAAAGGACUGCGUUGCCACCCAUAUAUUUUCGAUGAUGGAGCCUCCAAAUCAAUGAUUGGCACUGUUGAACAUGAUUUAUAUCACUUGAAGCAUAUAAAAAUCAAAUUUCAAAUCUUUUCGACAUCAUUGACCUAAUACAAAGGGUUUCAGAAUUUGUAAUUUUAAUGGUCAAUGUGAGGCGUUUUUUCGUUUAACGGUGUAAAAAUAUCCAAAUCAAUUGAAUUUUGGUUAGAAAAUUCUUUAAACUAUUUAGAACUUGAUCUAUAUUCUCGAUCUUGAUUACAAGAUUCAUAUAAUCACUUUUUAAAAAAUAUUCAUUUUUAGCUGUUCAUUUUUGUGUCCAGUUGAUGGACAAGAGAACAAUAUCGAAAAAGUAUAAAAUUUGGUUUCUAGAUGCUUCAAGUAGGGCAGAUCAUGUUCAACAGUGCCGAUUGUCAAUUUGGAUGCUCCAUCAUCGAACACGAAUGGGCGGCAACGGAGCCCGUUUGCUACCAACAGCAUUCUAG
This 565-nucleotide long non-coding RNA is filed under the name Ananas comosus (pineapple). Its description in RNAcentral is "long non-coding RNA (ACOM_LNC041399)". Lineage: Eukaryota; Viridiplantae; Streptophyta; Magnoliopsida; Poales; Bromeliaceae. The record is from RNAcentral.